This 253-nucleotide ribosomal RNA is filed under the name uncultured bacterium. RNAcentral's name for it is "partial 16S ribosomal RNA". It matches the Rfam family "Bacterial small subunit ribosomal RNA", at positions 524 to 776 of the family's 1533-position model. The record is from RNAcentral.
UACAGAGGGGGCAAGCGUUGUUCGGAAUUACUGGGCGUAAAGGGCGCGUAGGCGGCCCGCUAAGUCGAACGUGAAAUCCCCGGGCUUAACCCGGGAACUGCGUCCGAUACUGGCAGGCUUGAAUCCGGGAGAGGGAUGUGGAAUUCCUGGUGUAGCGGUGAAAUGCGCAGAUAUCAGGAGGAACACCGAUUACGAAGGCAGCUCGCUGGGACGUUACUGACGCUGAGACGCGAAAGCGUGGGGAGCAAACAGG